RNA transcript from Priapulus caudatus, 3523 nucleotides. It is a transcript of the gene named probable RNA polymerase II nuclear localization protein SLC7A6OS, with no coding region annotated. The record is from RefSeq and is a predicted model, not a curated record. Lineage: Eukaryota; Metazoa; Priapulida; Priapulimorpha; Priapulimorphida; Priapulidae. The transcript is spliced from 4 exons.
UAAUCAUAAGGUCAUGUCAGUGGAAAGGUAUGGAAAACAACAUGACCGUUUUUAAGAAUGGAUUCAGAAGAACUCGACAGGUUGGCAAGGGAAGAGCUCGUAAAUGAAGCAAAACGAGGAGCUGAGAGAUACGACACAUUGGGGCCGAUUGGCUGGCAGAAGCCGCGGUCAACCAACAAGGUGUUUUUCAGCAGAACUCUGAUGCAGGCUCUGCAAAGUCCUGCCGGAUAUCGCACCAAACGCACUCCCGCCGAUCGCACGGAAGAUAACACGGAUGUAGACGGCAACCAGAGCGACCACGGCAGCAGCAACAACAUUACGAGCGGGACCACCACAUCUCACCACCAUCGCACAGAAGCGAAAAACACGAAACGCCAGAAGACUCACUGAGAAAACCUUUUGAAACUCGAAACUUCACCGAAAACAACUUUCCUAGUGGCGAAACGCGAAGCUGACCUCUCGCAGACGACCCCUGACUUCUGACACGGUGUCUCACGCGAGAGCAGCUUCUGUCUGGAAUCUUGCACUGGUACUACCGCUGCGUGCGUGGUCUCUUUGCUUCCGCCUCGAGCGCGCGCGAUGGCGGGAACUGUGAUACGCGUAAAGCGCAAGCGAAAGUCCGACCCCGUCGAGAAACUCGUCGUGUCGUCGAAGCGACGCCGCCCUGGCGACGACCUCGGCGACGACCCUGACCACGACGACGACGGGCGGCGGCAGCGCAGGACGACUGUGUUCCAUCGCGUCGGCACGGUAACGGCGAGUGAGCAGCCUCUCUCGCGGCGCAUCCGCGAGGCCCUGCAACACGGCGUCGUCUCGCCGGGACAGCUGAAGCUGCAUCAGCCGCGCCCCCGCGACCUCGCACGCCGCGACGCCGACCUGCGUCGCCACGACGACCGCUACCAGCUGCUCGUCAGCCACCGCGGCAUCCCGCUUGACGACGUUGCCAAGGCGACGCCCGACGACGCGGCGGCGCGGGACGCGGAGGCUGCAACGCAGCAGGAGGCCGAGCGCAUCCUGUGUCUCUAUGAUGUCGUGCGCGACGGGAUGCGGGACGACGACGUUGCCGUGACGACGCGCGGGAAGCAGGAGGCGAUCGCGUGCAACGGCGUCGAGAUGUCGCGGGAGCCGGUUGCCGCGGCGACACCCGAUUACGUGUAUGACCUGUACUGCACGGGCAGCGGGGACGCCCCCGACAACGACGACGACGACGAUGACAUCAGCAUCGAGGCGUUUGACGAGAAUUACGUGCAGCAGUAUCCCGAGUGCGAAGCAUCCGCCGACGACGACGACGACGAUGAUAGCAACGACGAGAACAACUGGCGUAAUGACUACCCUGACUCAGACCCUGACGGCGGCAGCAGGGACGAGGAUGAGGAGGAUGAAGCCCUGCAGCUGUACGGUGACUACGCUGCUGCAGCAUCCAGCGACGCGGUGCCCGUGGAAGACUUCGCGAGGUUCACCAUGCAGCAAGAAGAGUCGGACGAUGAUGAUGAUGAUGAGACUCCUGGCUGGGCCGUCUGUAUCUGAGCGUGGCGCCCCCUGGCUGGGCCGUCUGUAUCUGAGCGUGGCGCCCCCUGGCUGGGCUGUCUGUAUCUGAGUGUGGCGCCCCCUGGCUGGGCCGUCUGUAUCUGAGAGUUUACAGUUUGUGCCACUAGAUGGCAGCCCAUCCUUGUUAUUUUACUGAGGAUAUUAAUGAGCAUGUGUAUAUGAAAAUAUAAUGAACUCCGUGUGCUGAAACCUUUUCCUUUGGGAUGUGUUUUUGGCAGGUAAUCUACUGAGUGUUUGCAGGUUGCGUCAUGCAUGCGCAUACUAGGUCUGUGGAUACAUGCUUGGGUACAUGCGGUAUGCAUGCAAAGUAGUGACCUGUUGGCCUGGUCUUUUGAUCUGUGAUACGCCUGCCUGGUGCAAUGUGGAGACUGAUUCAUCAAUGCUGUCAGGAGCUGUGUGAAAGCUUACCGAUCUGGUUACUGGCAACGGUGAUAUGCGUCAGGCCGGGUUGAUUGCUAAGCCACCGUCCACGAAUAUUUGCAGCACUUGGAUGUCUGUUGCUGAGUAACAAUUCUAUAUUAAUUAUUAUCUCUCGACCUUCGCCCACUGAUCUGAAAAUCUUCCACCUACGUAUCAGUGGCCGGAAAGUCGGCAAGUUAGAUGGUGGGGAGACAAAACAAAUAGCAGUCAGAGGUCUGAUGUACUCUGUCUGUGUAGUCUUCAUUGCAUUACGUGUGUAACGUGGCAAAAUAUACUCAUUGGUUCUGUCUGAGAUAUCAUCAGCGAGGAAUCGGAAUCAGACGAGUGAGAUCAAACAGUUGCUCGACUAUAGUGUGAGAGUGUGACUCUUAAACGCAAGUGAGAUUUAACUCUUUACUUGCGGUUCAUUUCACCGAUGUUUUACAGGUUCUAAAUCUCACACUGCGCCCGUGACUCUCACACGUCAUGUUAUAUAAUGCAGUGAGGGCUGAAGCAACCAGGCGUGGCCUUCUAGCAGGUUGAACUGUAUUACAAGAUUGAUUGCACAAUGCCUUGUUAGUCCUCCCCUGCAGCUAGGGAUUACAUACCAGCAGUGCUGGUGUUAUUGACUGCUGUAGUGUGCUGAGGUUUAGUCUUUUGUAAUGUUGAAAUCUGCUACUAUACGGUAUGCACAAGUUAUUUACAUGGGUUACACUCUUUGCUCUUUUUCUUGUUUGCUCCAUGGAUUUUGUGCAAUUAGUGACACCGAAUAUGAGUGUUAUAAGAAGGGCCGGUGUUAUAAGAAGGGCUCUUGUGUUGGAUAAAUUGUUCAGAGAUUAGUUUAUUAUUGCCACCAGGGGCUAAAAUUUGCGAACUCUAACCAGAGCACUUAAAUCAAAUAAAGAUCUCAAGAUCGAGAUUUAAGUGCUCUGCUCUAACACUGCAUCACAGAACGCCUUGCUUGAUGCUGGCACAUUACGCGUUCCUAUAUACAUUGUGGUAUAUAUCAUGUGCGUGUGACAGAAUCGUGUUGCGAUUCCGUGUGCUGCCCCCUGGUGCUUCUAAAUAUUUCAUUGAUUGCAGGAAAGCGCUUGAUAAGUGUAGCGCAUGAAUUAAUGAUAAGAGACUCAAUGUUUAGGACAAAGGAUGCGUACACUGUGCUUUCAUUAUUAAUAGCGGGCCAUAAAUAAAUCUCUCGCGAGCUUUUUAAUAACUAAGCAAAUGAGUCGCAUUUCUUACCGUUACCAAGUAGACUGUUUAUUGAACGUGUUUAUGAGCAUUCUUUGUGAUACUUGUACGUAGAUAUUACACGCCAUAUUACGCAGUCAAACAUUUAAACAACACCAGCUGUUCAGUCUCUAGAGACUAAGCAUUUUGCUACGAUGUGUUCACGCUUAAAUGUUAUAGAUAAUUUAUUAAUUUGGCACUGAUCGCUUUAAUUGUAGUCAGCUGUCUUAUCCGUCUUUACGCAUCAAGUGGGAAUUUAAUUUUCAAUUGGAAUUGUGUUCCGUGGUUCAACGCUUAUAACGUUUAUAAUAUAGACAACGUUAAAUAUAACUGAUUUAAUUUUAUACAA